RNAcentral lists this small RNA (663 nucleotides) under Pan troglodytes (chimpanzee). RNAcentral describes it as "processed transcript". Lineage: Eukaryota; Metazoa; Chordata; Mammalia; Primates; Hominidae. The record is from RNAcentral.
AUAGUCGCCAGGCUUGGCGGCUCUUGCUCUCCCAAGGCAGAGGAGAUCGUUGGGUUUCAAGGCCCCGCGGGCAUUUCUCGCCGGCCCUGCGGAGAGGUGAGGCAAGGCGUCGUGUCAUAGAUGCCUGAGUGCUUUCUAGGGAGACGAUGCCCGUGGGGUCGCGCCUGCUCGAGCGAACGGGAAGAGAAGGUGCCACGCCCUCCUCCCGGAUUCACGCCUUGUGCUGGCGACGCCGCUGCCUGCUGCCCCGACUUGCCCAGCUCGCCCCAAGGGGCGAGGACUGAGGAAAGCACUGCCUUUCUGUUCUUAAAGCGAACCUUUGAAGGCCUGGGCUUCGCGCCCGGCUUCUUUCUCAGCCGUUGUUUCCGUUUUUUGGUGACAAGAGGCUAGUAAUCUCGUAGGUUUGUCAGGAGCCAACGUAAGGAAAUAACAGUACAACAGCUAAUGGCUCAUUUGGAUGCUAUCAGGAAAGACAUGGUCAUCCUAGAGAAAAGUGAAUUUGCAAAUCUGAGAGCAGAGAAUGAGAAAAUGAAAAUUGAAUUAGACCAAGUUAAGCAACAACUAAUGCAUGAAACCAGUCGAAUCAGAGCAGAUAAUAAACUGGAUAUCAACUUAGAAAGGAGCAGAGUAACAGAUAUGUUUACAGAUCAAGAAAAGCAACUU